Molecule: transfer RNA, 74 nt
Filed under: Clostridium collagenovorans DSM 3089
Lineage: Bacteria; Bacillati; Bacillota; Clostridia; Eubacteriales; Clostridiaceae
Rfam family: tRNA
About the family: Transfer RNA (tRNA) molecules are approximately 80 nucleotides in length. Their secondary structure includes four short double-helical elements and three loops (D, anti-codon, and T loops).
Source: Rfam by way of RNAcentral
GCACCCGUAGCUCAGUAGGAUAGAGCGUCCCCCUCCUAAGGGGAAGGCCGGGGGUUCGAUUCCCUUCGUGUGCA